Molecule: ribosomal RNA, 2263 nt
Filed under: Salmonella enterica subsp. enterica serovar Stanley
Lineage: Bacteria; Pseudomonadati; Pseudomonadota; Gammaproteobacteria; Enterobacterales; Enterobacteriaceae
Description: partial 23S ribosomal RNA
Rfam family: Bacterial large subunit ribosomal RNA
Source: RNAcentral
UGGGCGUUAAGUUGCAGGGUAUAGACCCGAAACCCGGUGAUCUAGCCAUGGGCAGGUUGAAGGUUGGGUAACACUAACUGGAGGACCGAACCGACUAAUGUUGAAAAAUUAGCGGAUGACCUGUGGCUGGGGGUGAAAGGCCAAUCAAACCGGGAGAUAGCUGGUUCUCCCCGAAAGCUAUUUAGGUAGCGCCUCGUGAAUUCAUCUCCGGGGGUAGAGCACUGUUUCGGCUAGGGGGCCAUCCCGGCUUACCAACCCGAUGCAAACUGCGAAUACCGGAGAAUGUUAUCACGGGAGACACACGGCGGGUGCUAACGUCCGUCGUGAAGAGGGAAACAACCCAGACCGCCAGCUAAGGUCCCAAAGUCAUGGUUAAGUGGGAAACGAUGUGGGAAGGCCCAGACAGCCAGGAUGUUGGCUUAGAAGCAGCCAUCAUUUAAAGAAAGCGUAAUAGCUCACUGGUCGAGUCGGCCUGCGCGGAAGAUGUAACGGGGCUAAACCAUGCACCGAAGCUGCGGCAGCGACACUGUGUGUUGUUGGGUAGGGGAGCGUUCUGUAAGCCUGUGAAGGUGUGUCGUGAGGCAUGCUGGAGGUAUCAGAAGUGCGAAUGCUGACAUAAGUAACGAUAAAGCGGGUGAAAAGCCCGCUCGCCGGAAGACCAAGGGUUCCUGUCCAACGUUAAUCGGGGCAGGGUGAGUCGACCCCUAAGGCGAGGCCGAAAGGCGUAGUCGAUGGGAAACGGGUUAAUAUUCCCGUACUUGGUGUUACUGCGAAGGGGGGACGGAGAAGGCUAUGUUGGCCGGGCGACGGUUGUCCCGGUUUAAGCGUGUAGGUGUGUGUUCCAGGUAAAUCCGGUUCACUUUAACACUGAGGCGUGACGACGAGGCACUACGGUGCUGAAGCAACAAAUGCCCUGCUUCCAGGAAAAGCCUCUAAGCAUCAGGUAACAUCAAAUCGUACCCCAAACCGACACAGGUGGUCAGGUAGAGAAUACCAAGGCGCUUGAGAGAACUCGGGUGAAGGAACUAGGCAAAAUGGUGCCGUAACUUCGGGAGAAGGCACGCUGACACGUAGGUGAAGUGAUUUACUCAUGGAGCUGAAGUCAGUCGAAGAUACCAGCUGGCUGCAACUGUUUAUUAAAAACACAGCACUGUGCAAACACGAAAGUGGACGUAUACGGUGUGACGCCUGCCCGGUGCCGGAAGGUUAAUUGAUGGGGUCAGCGCAAGCGAAGCUCCUGAUCGAAGCCCCGGUAAACGGCGGCCGUAACUAUAACGGUCCUAAGGUAGCGAAAUUCCUUGUCGGGUAAGUUCCGACCUGCACGAAUGGCGUAAUGAUGGCCAGGCUGUCUCCACCCGAGACUCAGUGAAAUUGAACUCGCUGUGAAGAUGCAGUGUACCCGCGGCAAGACGGAAAGACCCCGUGAACCUUUACUAUAGCUUGACACUGAACAUUGAGCCUUGAUGUGUAGGAUAGGUGGGAGGCUUUGAAGUGUGGACGCCAGUCUGCAUGGAGCCGGCCUUGAAAUACCACCCUUUAAUGUUUGAUGUUCUAACGUGGACCCGUGAUCCGGGUUGCGGACAGUGUCUGGUGGGUAGUUUGACUGGGGCGGUCUCCUCCUAAAGAGUAACGGAGGAGCACGAAGGUUGGCUAAUCCUGGUCGGACAUCAGGAGGUUAGUGCAAUGGCAUAAGCCAGCUUGACUGCGAGCGUGACGGCGCGAGCAGGUGCGAAAGCAGGUCAUAGUGAUCCGGUGGUUCUGAAUGGAAGGGCCAUCGCUCAACGGAUAAAAGGUACUCCGGGGAUAACAGGCUGAUACCGCCCAAGAGUUCAUAUCGACGGCGGUGUUUGGCACCUCGAUGUCGGCUCAUCACAUCCUGGGGCUGAAGUAGGUCCCAAGGGUAUGGCUGUUCGCCAUUUAAAGUGGUACGCGAGCUGGGUUUAGAACGUCGUGAGACAGUUCGGUCCCUAUCUGCCGUGGGCGCUGGAGAACUGAGGGGGGCUGCUCCUAGUACGAGAGGACCGGAGUGGACGCAUCACUGGUGUUCGGGUUGUCAUGCCAAUGGCACUGCCCGGUAGCUAAAUGCGGAAGAGAUAAGUGCUGAAAGCAUCUAAGCACGAAACUUGCCCCGAGAUGAGUUCUCCCUGAGACUUUAGGUCUCCUGAAGGAACGUUGAAGACGACGACGUUGAUAGGCCGGGUGUGUAAGCGCAGCGAUGCGUUGAGCUAACCGGUACUAAUGAACCGUGAGGCUUAACCUUACA